Molecule: transfer RNA, 84 nt
Filed under: Phycisphaerales bacterium
Lineage: Bacteria; Pseudomonadati; Planctomycetota; Phycisphaerae; Phycisphaerales
Description: tRNA-Leu
Rfam family: tRNA
About the family: Transfer RNA (tRNA) molecules are approximately 80 nucleotides in length. Their secondary structure includes four short double-helical elements and three loops (D, anti-codon, and T loops).
Source: RNAcentral
GCGGCUGUGGCGGAAUUGGCAGACGCGCUAGAUUCAGGUUCUAGUCCUAGCAAUAGGGUGGAGGUUCAAGUCCUCUCAGCCGCA